ACUCUCAGAUCGGACUAAGGUGCGGGAAUGCCGAUUAAAAAGAGACUUAUUAUUAUUGUCCAGGCGUGCAGAUACCCGAAACACAAGAAAGUUGGAAAAUAUUGGCGCUACAAUUUGGAAAUUCGUGGAACUUUGAUAAUUGCAUUGGAGCUGUAGAUGGAAAGCAUAUCACAAAUAUUUGACAAAUAAUUUGACCGUGUACAGGGCCCUUAAGAAAUAAGAAAUUAGAGAAAUUUAUAUAUAUAAUUAAGUCAGUAUCCAAUUAAGUCGGAACCAUAUGGGAAACGUUUUUAUUCUUAGUUUUAUGAAGAAUAGUUAAUCUUCUUAAAAGGUUGUGCAUGGUUUAAAACCUCGAAUGCACUCAUCAGAUAUCAAAAUUUGUUAGUUGUAUACGAGGUAUGUAAAAAUAUAAAUUUUUGCUCAAGAGUAAAGUUUCUUCAGUUAGUCCACUUUGGUGUUUCCUUGCCACGUUCCCAAUAAAAAUCUACUCAUAAUAUAGAUACGUCCUCAUUAAUCGAACUAUAUUAUUACAUGCUUAAUGUUAGGAGGUUAUUUGUAGACCAAAUUCGACUUACCUUAAUUGUUUCAUGUGAAUGGUCUGAUCGUACCGUUGUUGGUAGAUCACUACCAAAUGGGUCAUCAAUACAAAUACACGUUGCAUUGGGCGUGAUAUUAGGAUGAGGUAACUCUAUUUCCAUACUUUGCACAUAUUGACAUAUCCUAUUACAAUAGUCAUAUAUUUCGCACAAGGACUUUUUAGCUGCUGCCAUCGCUCCUGCUAUUUUAUAUAUCAAAACUACCGCAGAUAAUGUUCUUUGUGACAUCUUCGAUUGCUGAUUAUUAAAAAAAUCAUCGGAAACCGUCAACAUUUUGACUACUAUGUUGUCAUUUAGUGCUCUUUCAAUUGCCAAACCAAAGUUUAAAGUACAUCCCGAAGAAGCUGGUACUAUCACUAGACUUCCCAUAAUAUGGUUAUUGGAGAGUUCUCGUAGAGUGCGUAAUAUGAUGCUAGAUGCUGGAGCUGUGAAAUUGUCACCUAUAGCAAAUUAGAAAGACAUAGGUCUUCUCAAUGACCUCAGAGAAUAGGUAACUGCAUUUAGUGGUGUUUAUAACAAACUAUAUUGUGUACGUUAGACUAAUAAAAAUAUAAAAAUAAUAAAUUCUUUUGAAAUUUAA
Molecule: long non-coding RNA, 1176 nt
Organism: Diorhabda sublineata
Lineage: Eukaryota; Metazoa; Arthropoda; Insecta; Coleoptera; Chrysomelidae
Exons: 2
Source: RefSeq, a predicted model, not a curated record